This 253-nucleotide ribosomal RNA is filed under the name uncultured bacterium. RNAcentral describes it as "partial 16S ribosomal RNA". It matches the Rfam family "Bacterial small subunit ribosomal RNA", at positions 524 to 776 of the family's 1533-position model. The record is from RNAcentral.
UACGAAGGGUGCAAGCGUUGUUCGGAAUUAUUGGGCGUAAGGCGCGCGCAGGCGGAUUAACAAGUCAGAUGUGAAAUCUCGGAGCUCAACUCCGAAACUGCGUCUGAAACUGUUAGUCUAGAAUGUCGGAGGGGGCAGGGGAAUUUCACGUGUAGGGGUAAAAUCCGUAGAGAUGUGAAGGAACACCGGAGGCGAAGGCGCCUGCCUGGACGACUAUUGACGCUGAGGUGCGAAAGCGUGGGGAGCAAACAGG